Molecule: ribosomal RNA, 2975 nt
Filed under: Eggerthella sinensis
Lineage: Bacteria; Bacillati; Actinomycetota; Coriobacteriia; Eggerthellales; Eggerthellaceae
Description: bacterial LSU rRNA
Rfam family: Bacterial large subunit ribosomal RNA
Source: RNAcentral
GAAGAAGAUAUUAAGGGCGCACGGCGGAUGCCUUGGCACAGGAAGUCGAAGAAGGACGCGGCAAGCUGCGAUAAGCUUCGGGGAGGCGCAAACGGCCCUCGAUCCGAAGAUCUCCGAAUGGGGGAACCCAGCUGGGGUCAUGCCCAGCUACCCGCAUCUGAAUGAAAUAGGAUGCGAGGAGGCAACCCGGGGAACUGAAACAUCUAAGUACCCGGAGGAAGAGAAAUCAACCGAGAUUGCGCGAGUAGCGGCGAGCGAAAGCGCACCAGCCCAAACCCAUGCACGUGUAAGCGUAAGGGCGUUGCUGCAUGAGGUGUUGUGGGACCUCGCAUUCCAUGGUCCUUAUGCCAUGGACGGAGUUACAAAGGGACGCGGUAGCGGAACGGCCUGGGAAGGCCGGCGGAACAGGGUGACAGCCCCGUACGCGAAACCCCGCCCCCUCCGAGCGAGGCACCCGAGUAGCGCCGGGCACGUGAAACCCGGUGCGAAUCUGGGGGGACCACCCUCCAAGGCUGAACACUCUCCUGUGACCGAUAGCGAACCAGUACCGUGAGGGAAAGGUGAAAAGCACCCCGAGAGGGGAGUGAAACAGUACCUGAAACCGUGCGCCUACAAGCAGUCGGAGCAGCCUUCAUUGCGCUGUGACGGCGUGCCUUUUGUAGAAUGAGCCAGCGAGUUGCGGUAUGCGGCGAGGUUAAGCUUUUAAGCGAGCCGCAGUGAAAGCGAGCCUUUAAGAUGGCGAGUUAGUCGCAUGCUGCAGACGCGAAGCCGGGUGAGCUAUCCAUGGGCAGGCUGAAGCGGGGGUAAGACCCCGUGGAGGGCCGAACCCACUUCGGUUGAAAACGGAGGGGAUGACCCGUGGAUAGGGGUGAAAGGCCAAUCAAACCCGGAGAUAUCUCGUUCUCCCCGAAAUAGCUUUAGGGCUAGCCUCGGCCGUUCUCCGACGGCGGUAGAGCACUGGAUCGUCGAGGGGGCUUCACCGCCUACCGACACGAACCAAACUCCGAAUGCAGUCGGAUCAGAGGCCGGGAGUCAGAAUAUGUGGGCUAAGCUGUGUAUUCGAAAGGGAAACAGCCCAGACCGCCCGCUAAGGUCCCCAAGUUCGUGCUGAGUGGCAAAGGAUGUGCGUUUGCCUAGACAACCAGGAUGUUGGCUUAGAAGCAGCCAUGCAUUUAAAGAGUGCGUAACAGCUCACUGGUCAAGUGGACAUGCGCCGACAAUUCACGGGGCUAAGCACGGCACCGAAGCGGCGGGCUAGAUUUCAUCUAGCGGUAGGGGAGCGUUCCAUGCGGGGCGAAGCUCGAGGGGAACCUCGGGUGGACUGCAUGGAAGCGAGAAUGCUGGCAUGAGUAACGAGAGCGGCGCGAGAAACGCCGCCGCCGUAAGCCUAAGGGUUCCUGGGCAAGGCUAAUCCUCCCAGGGUCAGUCGGGAGCUAAGGCGAGGCCGAGAGGCGUAGCCGAUGCACAACAGGCGGACAUUCCUGUACCGCCGAUGGACCGUUAUACCGACGGGGUGACGGAGAAGGGUAGCCGAGCGGGGUUCUGGACGUCCCCGUGAAAGCGCGUAGGGAGUUGCGCAUGGAAAUCAGCGCAGCAUAUAUCCUGAGACGCGAGACGAAAGCUUUUGCUGAAGUCGGCGAGCCCAUGCUUCCGAGAAAAACCUCUAGGAAGGCACAUCGGCGCCCGUACCAAAACCGACACAGGUGGGCGGGUAGAACAUACCGAGGCGAUCGGGAGAACCAUGGUUAAGGAACUCGGCAUACUGACUCCGUAACUUCGGGAGAAGGAGUGCCCCUGGCGGUGACGGGACUUGCUCCCCGAGCGGCCGGGGGUCGCAGCGAAACGGCCCAAGCGACUGUUUAUCAAAAACACAGGACUCUGCUAAGCCGCAAGGCGACGUAUAGGGUCUGACGCCUGCCCGGUGCUGGAAGGUUACGCGGAUGGGUUAGCCUCACGGCGAAGCUCUGAAGCCAAGCCCCAGUAAACGGCGGCCGUAACUAUAACGGUCCUAAGGUAGCGAAAUUCCUUGUCGGGUAAGUUCCGACCUGCACGAAUGGCGUAACGAUUUGGGCGCUGUCUCAACCAUGGACCCGGUGAAAUUGUAUUAUUCGUGAAGAUGCGAAUUACCUGCGGAAGGACGGAAAGACCCCGUGAACCUUUACUGCAGCUUGACAUUGAUCGUUGGCUCGGCGCGUAGAGGAUAGGCAGGAGGCUUCGAAGCCCGGGCGCCAGCUCGGGUGGAGCCGACCUUGGAAUACUGCCCUCGUCGUGUUGGCGAUCUAACCCCCGGCCGUGAUCCGGCGGGGGGACCGUGUCAGGCGGGUAGUUUGACUGGGGCGGUCGCCUCCUAAAAUGUAACGGAGGCGCGCAAAGGUCCGCUCAGAACGGUUGGCAAUCGUUCGCAGAGCGCAAGAGUACAAGCGGGCUUGACUGCGAGGCCCACAAGCCGAGCAGAGACGAAAGUCGGUUCUAGUGAUCCGGCGGCACAGAGUGGAAUGGCCGUCGCUCAACGGAUAAAAGGUACUCCGGGGAUAACAGGCUGAUCUUGCCCAAGAGUCCACAUCGACGGCAAGGUUUGGCACCUCGAUGUCGGCUCAUCGCAUCCUGGGGCUGAAGUCGGUCCCAAGGGUAUGGCUGUUCGCCAUUUAAAGCGGUACGCGAGCUGGGUUCAGAACGUCGUGAGACAGUUCGGUCCCUAUCCUCCGCAGGCGCAAGAGGAUUGAGGAGGUCUGCCCCUAGUACGAGAGGACCGGGGUGGACGGACCUCUGGUGCAGCAGUUGUCGACCAACGGCACGGCUGCCUAGCUACGUCCGGCACGGAUAACCGCUGAAAGCAUCUAAGUGGGAAGCCGUCUCCAAGAUGAGUCCUCUUUCCGGUAAGGGCCCUCGCAGACCACGAGGUCGAUAGGCCGCAGCUGUAAGCGCAGCGAUGCGUUCAGGCGAGCGGUACUAAUAGCCCGAGCUCUUCUUCACAA